Molecule: long non-coding RNA, 2145 nt
Organism: Falco peregrinus (peregrine falcon)
Lineage: Eukaryota; Metazoa; Chordata; Aves; Falconiformes; Falconidae
Exons: 3
Source: RefSeq, a predicted model, not a curated record
GGAAAAAAUGUGCCUGCCACCCCUAAUUGGAAAUUAACCCUGCUAAUAACGAUAGUCCUCCCAAAGGAACGUCUGUUGGUUAAAAAAAAAAUAAAUUAGUUGCAUCGUCAAAACAGCUGGCUGCAAGAUCUGCGAUAGCCAGUUGCUUCGCUGGUGGACCUGAGCAUUAUUUCUCUUGUGGCUGGGACUGCUGGGACCGCUGGCAGCGGAGAACUUGCUCUGGAGCCUGGAAACAGCCUCGGUGUGGGCACCGUGACUCACACUUCCCACUAACGCACGGCUGCGCUUUUUGUCUUGGAUUUGUUUCUAGUAUCUGUCCAGCCUGACGGGUUCGGUAUGUGGAAUCUGAAAUCACCUUGGCUUUGGUGCUUUCUGGAAAAAAAAGAGCUUUCCCCUCGCCUCGUGGGGAAGCGUCAGCUUUCAAGGGCUGUUGGUGAGUGAGCGGCAGCUCUGCUCGCUAACUCUGUUCCUCUUUUGAUGUCCUAAGCGCUGCUCCAGCCUGCGUUUCAGAACUGUGCCUAAGCACACCAAGAUGCUUUCAGGACUUCAGGCCGAGGUGGAUGACUUGCGCGCCGCCAUCAAUCUCGCUUUGAGAAUUUGGAGCGUCAUGAAGAACGGUGUAAUUUUAGCCCUGCUGUCAGUUCUGGAGGGGUGAAGCGAGUGAGUCACAGCCCGUGGCGCUCGGCACCGAGGGACGCACCCCGACAAGCGCCGGGAGCUUGUGCGAAAGGCGGAUUUUGGUAGGCGGUAAACUGGGAGUAUUCAGAUGAACGCCACCUGGAGAAGAUCCUGCCUGGCUCAGCGUAGGUACCCCUUGUGCCCAGCCGCCCUUCAGAGCUGGUGAACACUCACCCAGUGGUUACACAGAGGAGGAAGCCGAGGUGCAGGGGCCGUUGUGGAGCAGGCGCUAACCCCGUGGCUGUUAACUUCCUGCUGCCGCCCAUCAGCGGACCGAGGUGCGCUCGUGCAGUUAUCCCAUUAGCUUAACAUCUGCCAAAACGCCCUUUCCCCACAGGGGCUGGAUUAGUCUGGAACUGACCCAGCUCCCCGGGAAGCUUUUCCUAUCACGUACUUGUGGCUUUCAGUCCGCUGCCCUAACUGUAGCCAAACCCAGCGCGUGCGUCUCACCGUAGAGCAGGAAAUUUCCGCAAGCAAAGCAGUGAUUUGGCUCUACUUUUCCCUCCAAAGCAAGUCUAAGUCUUCAAAUUGCACUGUGUUUAAAUGUUCAAAUUACAUCCUAUAUAUCAUGUAGACACUUGUAUUUUCAAUCUAAAAGCUUGUUUCAGCUGCAAUGACCUGUGCUGGACCGGUUUUCACACCAGUACCGAAAAGAAAAGCAUUUCAAGGGAGAGGUGAGGGGCAGCAGCAGGACAGACACCACCGGUGUGCUUGAUUUCUUCUUGCUGCCCGACACAAAGGUUCAGGACAAAAUUCCCCAGCACCUGCUGGCUGGAAGAUGAGCCCAGCUCACCAAGGGCCAAUGUGAAAGUCGCUGGCAUCCAGUGCUGCGUUGUGGAAGGCGUUGAAUUGCUGCCAAUGAGCUGUCCCUGGAUCUCGCCCUGGCUCAUCUUAUAACUUUGGACUAGUUUACGAAUUCAAAGUCUUCUAGCCCUUGCCUCCAAGCACCUUGAGCAUGUGGCACGUGUGAGCCAGGGUCACCGUCGGCUGGGCUGGGACACUGCUGCCUGGGCACUAGCGAUGCUCCGGGGCUGGUCCUGCCGGGCUCUGGGGUUGCAAAGGCACCCUUCUGCCUCGGGCCUGCUCCUGGCCCUCUGUGGGGAGGGACGGGAAUGUUUCAGACCAGGGUGGUGAUAUGUUAUGCCUUAAGUAAUGCCAUCAGCAGCCUCGCAGCUGCAAUCUCAGGAUCUCAGCUCCCACCUUACCUGUUGGGUUGAUACCUAAUGAAGAAAUGAUCUGCAUUGUCCCCUUGAUAGGAGGUUACACUCUCAAACACAGCACCAAAGCUUCCCAGCUUUUGUUUCCACUGUGGAUCUUAUUAAUGAUUUAAUAACGGGGGAGGCAUCUCCCUGUGAGGACGAGCUGCAGCUUUUUCACUUUGUUUGCGGUUGCCCAUGGGUUUCCUUUACCCUCCAGGUCCCAGCCUGCCACCCUCACUCCAGCGCCACCCUUCCUUUUGCUCCCGGU